AGACGUGAGGGCUAUCUGGCUACAUGUUAUCUCACUGAUUACUAGGGUUGACUUAGCUCCUUUGACUGGCUGGGUGACCCUUUUCUCCCUUACCACUCCAGUGCAUCCUUCCCUAAAUUGUAUAUUCUAUUGAAAGAAAUAAAGACUAACCAGGACCAGUCUGGCAAGUACAUGAAUUGCUGCUCUCAUCUGCUAGAAUAUCCAGACCUCUCAAAACCACAUCCACAUCCUCCUUUCUUUAAGAUAAUAUUUGGU
Molecule: small nuclear RNA, 255 nt
Filed under: Erinaceus europaeus (western European hedgehog)
Lineage: Eukaryota; Metazoa; Chordata; Mammalia; Eulipotyphla; Erinaceidae
Description: 7SK RNA
Rfam family: 7SK RNA
About the family: 7SK was discovered as an abundant small nuclear RNA in the mid-70s but a possible function has only recently been suggested.
Source: Rfam by way of RNAcentral